Molecule: ribosomal RNA, 473 nt
Filed under: uncultured bacterium
Lineage: Bacteria
Description: bacterial SSU rRNA
Rfam family: Bacterial small subunit ribosomal RNA
Source: RNAcentral
AGAGUUUGAUCCUGGCUCAGAUUGAACGCUGGCGGUAUGCUUAACACAUGCAAGUCGAACGGUAACAGGAAAAGCUUGCUUUUCGCUGACGAGUGGCGGACGGGUGCGUAAUGCGUAGGAAUCUGCCUAGUAGUGGGGGACAACUCGGAGAAAUUCGAGCUAAUACCGCAUAAGCCCUACGGGGGAAAACGGGGGAUCUUCUGACCUCGUGCUAUUAGAUGAGCCUACGUUAGAUUAGCUUGUUGGUGAGGUAAAAGCUCACCAAGGCGACGAUCUAUAGCUGGUCUGAGAGGAUGAUCAGCCACACUGGGACUGAGACACGGCCCAGACUCCUACGGGAGGCAGCAGUGGGGAAUAUUGGACAAUGGGCGAAAGCCUGAUCCAGCAAUACCGCGUGUGUGAAGAAGGCCUGAGGGUUGUAAAGCACUUUCAAUUGGGAGGAAUACCUAAUGGUUAAUAGCCAUUAGAUUGAC